GUUGGUUCUACCCGAAGACGGUGAUGCUAACCGCAAGGAGGCAGCCGGCCACGGUAGGGUCAGCGACUGGGGUGAAGUCGUAACAAGGUAGCCGUAGGUGAACCUGCAGAAGGAUCA
Molecule: ribosomal RNA, 117 nt
Filed under: uncultured eukaryote
Lineage: Eukaryota
Description: partial small subunit ribosomal RNA
Rfam family: Bacterial small subunit ribosomal RNA
Source: RNAcentral